CACAUAGUUAGCCGGGGCUUCCUCCUUAGGUACCGUCCUUUCUCUUCCCUAACGACAAUAGUUUACAUUCCGAAAAACUUCUUCCUAUACGCGGCGUCACUGCGUCAGAGUUUCCUCCAUUGCGCAAUAUUCCCGACUGCUGCCUCCCGUAGGAGUCUGGGCCGUAUCUCAGUCCCAAUGUGGCCGUUCAACCUCUCAGUCCGGCUACUGAUCGUCGCCUUGGUAGGCCUUUACCCCACCAACUAGCUAAUCAGACGCAAGCCCAUCUGUAAGUGGAUUGCUCCUUUCCUCACUCUUACAUGUGUUAGUGUGAGCAUAUGCGGUAUUAGCAAUGAUUUCUCACUGUUAUUCCCCUCUUACAGGCAGGUUGCUUACGUGUUACUCACCAGUCCGCCACUAACCGUACCCAAUCGUAAUGAAUGGGCCUAAGUUCGUUCGACUUGCAUGUCUUAUGUGCGCCGCCAGCGUUUUAUCCUGAGCCAGGAUCAAACUCU
This 494-nucleotide ribosomal RNA is filed under the name uncultured Eubacteriales bacterium. RNAcentral's name for it is "uncultured Clostridiales bacterium partial 16S ribosomal RNA". The record is from RNAcentral. Lineage: Bacteria; Bacillati; Bacillota; Clostridia; Eubacteriales.